This is a long non-coding RNA of Oncorhynchus keta (chum salmon), 1833 nucleotides long. RefSeq lists it as uncharacterized. NCBI's taxonomy places the organism in Eukaryota, Metazoa, Chordata, Actinopteri, Salmoniformes, Salmonidae. The record is from RefSeq and is a predicted model, not a curated record. The transcript has 3 exons.
UGUCUAUAUCACCAGCCACGUUGGUGGGUUGAAUGUCUAUAUCACCAGCCACGUUGGUGGGUUGAAUGUCUAUAUCACCAGCCACGUUGGUGGGUUGAAUGUCUAUAUCACCAGCCACGUUGGUGGGUUGAAUGUCUAUAUCACCAGCCACGUUGGUGGGUUGAAUGUCUAUAUCACCAGCCAUGUUGGUGGGUUGAAUGUCUAUAUCACCAGCCAUGUUGGUGGGUUGAAUGUCUAUAUCACCAGCCACGUUGGUGGGUUGAAUGUCUAUAUCACCAGCCACGUUGGUGGGUUGAAUGUCUAUAUCACCAGCCACGUUGGUGGGUUGAAUGUCUAUAUCACCAGCCACGUUGGUGGGUUGAAUGUCUAUAUCACCAGCCAUGUUGGUGGGUUGAAUGUCUAUAUCACCAGCCACGUUGGUGGGUUGAAUGUCUAUAUCACCAGCCACGUUGGUGGGUUGAAUGUCUAUAUCACCAGCCAUGUUGGUGGGUUGAAUGUCUAUAUCACCAGCCACGUUGGUGGGUUGAAUGUCUAUAUCACCAGCCACGUUGGUGGGUUGAAUGUCUAUAUCACCAGGCCACGUUGGUGGGUUGAAUGUCUAUAUCACCAGCCAUGUUGGUGGGUUGAAUGUCUAUAUCACCAGCCACGUUGGUGGGUUGAAUGUCUAUAUCACCAGCCACGUUGGUGGGUUGAAUGUCUAUAUCACCAGCCACGUUGGUGGGUUGAAUGUCUAUAUCACCAGCCACGUUGGUGGGUUGAAUGUCUAUAUCACCAGCCAUGUUGGUGGGUUGAAUGUCUAUAUCACCAGCCACGUUGGUGGGUUGAAUGUCUAUAUCACCAGCCAUGUUGGUGGGUUGAAUGUCUAUAUCACCAGCCACGUUGGUGGGUUGAAUGUCUAUAUCACCAGCCACGUUGGUGGGUUGAAUGUCUAUAUCACCAGCCAUGUUGGUGGGUUGAAUGUCUAUAUCACCAGCCAUGUUGGUGGGUUGAAUGUCUAUAUCACCAGCCACGUUGGUGGGUUGAAUGUCUAUAUCACCAGCCACGUUGGUGGGUUGAAUGUCUAUAUCACCAGCCACGUUGGUGGGUUGAAUGUCUAUAUCACCAGCCACGUUGGUGGGUUGAAUGUCUAUAUCACCAGCCACGUUGGUGGGUUGAAUGUCUAUAUCACCAGCCACGUUGGCAGGGUUGAAUGUCUAUAUCACCAGCCACGUUGGUGGGUUGAAUGUCUAUAUCACCAGCCACGUUGGUGGGUUGAAUGUCUAUAUCACCAGCCACGUUGGUGGGUUGAAUGUCUAUAUCACCAGCCACGUUGGCAGGGUUGAAUGUCUAUAUCACCAGCCACGUUGGUGGGUUGAAUGUCUAUAUCACCAGCCACGUUGGUGGGUUGAAUGUCUAUAUCACCAGCCACGUUGGUGGGUUGAAUGUCUAUAUCACCAGCCACGUUGGUGGGGUGGUCACACAGAGCAUUUGGGUACCAUUUUUUUCACCCAAAACCCACAUGUAGAAGAAGUUAAUUGACCACACCUACUAAUUGACUACGACUCCUAAUUGACCACACCUACUAAUUGACUACGACUCCUAAUUGACCACACCUACUAAUUGACUACGACUCCUAAUUGACCACACCUACUAAUUGACUACGACUCCUAAUUGGCCACACCUACGAAACGGCCACACCUGAUCCUAAUGAUUGUGUAUCUCUGAGCAGAGUGUUUCUGAGCAGGGUGGGAGGAACGAGGUAGAUCUCUACAUACUGUGUGGUGUUCACACCUGAUCCUAAUGAUUGUGUGUCUCUGAGCAGUGUGGGAGGAACGAGGUAGAUCACACACACAC